This 389-nucleotide ribosomal RNA is filed under the name uncultured bacterium. Its description in RNAcentral is "bacterial SSU rRNA". It matches the Rfam family "Bacterial small subunit ribosomal RNA", at positions 28 to 417 of the family's 1533-position model. The record is from RNAcentral.
GACGAACGCUGGCGGCGUGCUUAACACAUGCAAGUCGAGCGGUAAGGCCCUUUCGGGGGUACACGAGCGGCGAACGGGUGAGUAACACGUGGGUGACCUGCCCUUAGCUCUGGGAUAAGCCUGGGAAACUGGGUCUAAUACCGGAUAUGACUCCAUAACGCAUGUUGUGGGGUGGAAAGCCUUGUGCGGCUAGGGAUGGGCCCGCGGCCUAUCAGCUUGUUGGUGGGGUGAUGGCCUACCAAGGCGACGACGGGUAGCCGGCCUGAGAGGGCGACCGGCCACACUGGGACUGAGACACGGCCCAGACUCCUACGGGAGGCAGGCAGUGGGGAAUCUUGCGCAAUGGGCGAAAGCCUGACGCAGCGACGCCGCGUGAGGGAUGACGGCCU